Molecule: ribosomal RNA, 468 nt
Filed under: uncultured bacterium
Lineage: Bacteria
Description: partial 16S ribosomal RNA
Rfam family: Bacterial small subunit ribosomal RNA
Source: RNAcentral
GACGAACGUUGGCGGCGUCCUUAACACAUGCAAGUCGAACGGAAAGGCCCUGCUUUUGUGGGGUGCUCGAGUGGCGUACGGGUGAGUAACACGUGAGUAACCUGCCCUUGACUUUGGGAUAACUUCAGGAAACUGGGGCUAAUACCGGAUAGGAGCUCCUGCUGCAUGGUGGGGGUUGGAAAGUUUCGGCGGUUGGGGAUGGACUCGCGGCUUAUCAGCUUGUUGGUGGGGUAGUGGCUUACCAAGGCUUUGACGGGUAGCCGGCCUGAGAGGGUGACCGGCCACAUUGGGACUGAGAUACGGCCCAGACUCCUACGGGAGGCAGCAGUGGGGAAUAUUGCACAAUGGGCGGAAGCCUGAUGCAGCAACGCCGCGUGCGGGAUGACGGCCUUCGGGUUGUAAACCGCUUUCGCCUGUGACGAAGCGUGAGUGACGGUAAUGGGUAAAGAAGCACCGGCUAACUACGUG